UGGACAGAUUAUUGUAUUCGACUGUAUUCACGGCGUGAGAUAGGGGAUUAUACUGUUUUUAAACGGAAAGUGAAUCAAUUAACAUAAUAGACUCCU
Molecule: microRNA precursor, 96 nt
Filed under: Nicotiana attenuata
Lineage: Eukaryota; Viridiplantae; Streptophyta; Magnoliopsida; Solanales; Solanaceae
Description: MIR6152 microRNA precursor family
Rfam family: MIR6152 microRNA precursor family
Source: Rfam by way of RNAcentral